RNAcentral lists this ribosomal RNA (270 nucleotides) under Triticum aestivum (bread wheat). RNAcentral's name for it is "partial small subunit ribosomal RNA". Lineage: Eukaryota; Viridiplantae; Streptophyta; Magnoliopsida; Poales; Poaceae. The record is from RNAcentral.
AUGUCAGCGCUUGAGAUUCCUUAGUUUGUUAUGGCUAUAUAUUGCUAUCCAAAUGUCUCUGUUGCCUAUCGGAUCCUCUUAACAGUGCAUGUGUCUGUAGCCUCAGCUGAAAGAAGUUUCUCUAAACUAAAACUACUAAAAAAUUAGUUGCAAGAUAGAUUGAAUGGUCUGGCUAUGUGUCGCAUUGAGAAGGGUAUCUUGGACAAUGUUGAUCUUGAUUGUGCCCUUAAUGACUUUGCAUCAAGAAAUGCCCAAAGAAACUUUUUUUGA